UCCGGCUUAGCGCCGGCAGUCUCUCUAGAGUCCCCACCAUCACGUGCUGGCAACUAGAAACGGGGGUUGCGCUCGUUGCGGGACUUAACCCAACAUCUCACGACACGAGCUGACGACAGCCAUGCAGCACCUGUGCACGAGCUCCGAAGAGGGCCCCCUGUUUCCAGAGAGUUUCCCGUGCAUGACAAGCCUAGGUAAGGUUCUGCGCGUUGCGUCGAAUUAAACCACAUGCUCCACCGCUUGUGCGGGCCCCCGUCAAUUCCUUUGAGUUUCAGCCUUGCGGCCGUACUCCCCAGGCGGGGCACUUCAUGCGUUAGCGCCGGUACCCCGGGGGUCGCUCCCCAAAGCACCUAGUGCCCAUCGUUUACGGCAUGGACUAC
Molecule: unclassified non-coding RNA, 380 nt
Filed under: uncultured Gemmatimonadaceae bacterium
Lineage: Bacteria; Pseudomonadati; Gemmatimonadota; Gemmatimonadia; Gemmatimonadales; Gemmatimonadaceae
Description: contains 16S-23S intergenic spacer region
Source: RNAcentral